UCCGUAGGUGAACCUGCGGAAGGAUCAUUACAGAAAGUAAACGCGGAUCAAACCGCGAACUUCUAAACCUUUGACGAUUGACUCAUGUUGCCUCGGCGGGUUCUCCCGCCGGAGGAUACAUCGAAACUCCUGUUUUAACGGUGUUGUCUGAGCUACAAGCAACGAAUCAAAACUUUCAACAACGGAUCUCUUGGUUCUGGCAUCGAUGAAGAACGCAGCGAAAUGCGAUAAGUAGUGUGAAUUGCAGAAUUCAGUGAAUCAUCGAAUCUUUGAACGCACAUUGCGCCCCUUGGUAUCCCGAGGGGCAUGCCUGUUCGAGCGUCAUUUCACCACUCAAGCCUGGCUUGGUGUUGGGCGACGUCCUCUUUGGGGACGCGCCUCGAAACGCUCGGCGGCGUGGCACCGGCUUUAAGCGUAGCAGAAUCUUUCGCUUUGGAAGUCGGGGCCCCGUCUGCCGGAAGACCUGCUCGCAAGGUUGACCUCGGAUCAGGCAGGGAUACCCGCUGAAGUUAAGCAUAUCAAUAAGCGGAGGA
Molecule: ribosomal RNA, 533 nt
Filed under: Cenococcum geophilum
Lineage: Eukaryota; Fungi; Ascomycota; Dothideomycetes; Gloniales; Gloniaceae
Description: eukaryotic LSU rRNA
Rfam family: 5.8S ribosomal RNA (bases 171-324)
Source: RNAcentral